Molecule: ribosomal RNA, 426 nt
Filed under: uncultured bacterium
Lineage: Bacteria
Description: bacterial SSU rRNA
Rfam family: Bacterial small subunit ribosomal RNA
Source: RNAcentral
GGACCCGCACAAGUAGUGGAGCAUGUGGUUUAAUUCGAAGAUACGCGCAGAACCUUACCAACACUUGACAUGUUCGUCGCGACUUUAAGAGAUUAAAGUUUUCGGUUCGGCCGGACGAAACACAGGUGCUGCAUGGCUGUCGUCAGCUCGUGUCGUGAGAUGUUGGGUUAAGUCCCGCAACGAGCGCAACCCUCACUUUUAGUUGCCAUCAUUUAGUUGGGCACUCUAGAAGAACUGCCAGUGAUAAGCUGGAGGAAGGUGGGGAUGACGUCAAGUCCUCAUGGCCCUUACGUGUUGGGCUACACACGUGCUACAAUGGUAUCUACAACAGGAAGCAAGACUGCGAAGUUAAGCAAAUCCUUAAAAGAUACCUCAGUUCGGAUUGCACUCUGCAACUCGAGUGCAUGAAGCUGGAAUUACUAGUAA